UGUCAGGCUGUGACGCUCUAAAUGGAAGCACUUUCUUUUGUCUGAAAAAAAGAAACUGCCUUCAAUUAGAGUGUUACGGUUUGAGA
Non-coding RNA from Callithrix jacchus (white-tufted-ear marmoset), 86 nucleotides. The record is from Rfam. NCBI's taxonomy places the organism in Eukaryota, Metazoa, Chordata, Mammalia, Primates, Cebidae.